UAUAUAGAGAGCCUUUCACACUUAACGGAAUCUUGUUGGUGGCAACUGUUUUGCAAGAGUGAUGUGUGGGACGCUAGCGAAACACCUGAGCCGUAGUCGGUGCUACGUGCUAAUCGCGUACUGAUCGUCUACAGAACGAGCAUCCAGAACCAAUGGCCUCCCGCGAGCUCGACCUCACGGUCUGCCAGAACAUCUGCAUCUUCCUUGAGGGAUAUGGGUUGAAAUGGAAGUACAUAUAAUUUAUAGUGGACGUGUUUCUAAUACCUUUUGAAUGGAAUGUCGACGUUCUCAUGGCCUUCCCACUCUUCGUGCUGCAAUCCAUCAUCCGAAAGCUGUGCAUCUACACCGGCCACGGCUGUCAUCUGAGGGACACAGUUGAUGGUUUGAAUGCAGAAAGAAUUGUUGCUUACAUCAUGGAUCUCGUCAGAAGUUGUGGUUGCACCGGUCAUAAUCGAGAGGAAUAUGCCAUAAGGUUGUAUUUUAAAGGAGAGGAAGAGUAGUAGCCAUCAAUGUGAUCAGGGUUCCUCGUGAGUUAAUUACGAUGCAUGAGCAAGGUUUAAACCAUGCUCACAAGCACGCACACAAAAAGGCAAGUUUAUCUACAAAGAAUUAAAUAUAAGUAGUCAGUUUCGGCCGCCGUAUUUUUCUGUUAAACCCUUUUAGAGUCGACCUUUAGUUCUAAGUUUACACAUAUAUGUGUAUGUGUUUGUCAAAAAUAUGUACUUAAAUAGGUAAAUAGUAACAAAAAAUUUGUUUUCACUGCACUUUUUUUUUCACUAAAAAAUAUUUUUUUGUCACGAAAGCAAAUACACUUUACACAUUUUAAUGGACAGAUAUUCAUGUACAAAUAUUAGUAUGUGUAUGUAUUGCGCGCGCGGUGUGUGUGUGUGUGUGUGUGUGUGUGUGUGUGUGUGUAU
Molecule: long non-coding RNA, 917 nt
Organism: Penaeus monodon (black tiger shrimp)
Lineage: Eukaryota; Metazoa; Arthropoda; Malacostraca; Decapoda; Penaeidae
Exons: 3
Source: RefSeq, a predicted model, not a curated record